AUUGAACGCUGGCGGCAGGCUUAACACAUGCAAGUCGAGCGGGGUGAUGGUGCUUGCACUAUCACUUAGCGGCGGACGGGUGAGUAAUGCCUAGGAAUCUGCCUGGUAGUGGGGGACAACGUUUCGAAAGGAACGCUAAUACCGCAUACGUCCUACGGGAGAAAGCAGGGGACCUUCGGGCCUUGCGCUAUCAGAUGAGCCUAGGUCGGAUUAGCUAGUUGGUGGGGUAAUGGCUCACCAAGGCGACGAUCCGUAACUGGUCUGAGAGGAUGAUCAGUCACACUGGAACUGAGACACGGUCCAGAUUCCUACGGGAGGCAGCAGUGGGGAAUAUUGGACAAUGGGCGAAAGCCUGAUCCAGCCAUGCCGCGUGUGUGAAGAAGGUCUUCGGAUUGUAAAGCACUUUAAGUUGGGAGGAAGGGCAGUAAGCUAAUACCUUGCUGUUUUGACGUUACCGACAGAAUAAGCACCGGCUAACUCUGUGCCAGCCGCCGCCGUAA
RNAcentral lists this ribosomal RNA (500 nucleotides) under uncultured bacterium. RNAcentral describes it as "partial 16S ribosomal RNA". It matches the Rfam family "Bacterial small subunit ribosomal RNA", at positions 30 to 523 of the family's 1533-position model. The record is from RNAcentral.